Molecule: ribosomal RNA, 780 nt
Filed under: uncultured bacterium
Lineage: Bacteria
Description: bacterial SSU rRNA
Rfam family: Archaeal small subunit ribosomal RNA
Source: RNAcentral
CCAUGCGAGUCGAGAGGUGUAAGACCUCGGCAUACUGCUCAGUAACACGUGGUUAACCUGCCCUAAGGUGGAGAAUACUCCCGGGAAACUGGGGUUAAUGCUCCAUAGUGGAUAUGUCCUGGAAUGGUAUAUCCUCGAAAGAUCCGUCGCCUUAGGAUGGGACUGCGUCCGAUUAGGUUGUUGGCGGGGUAACGGCCCACCAAGCCAUUGAUCGGUACGGGUUGUGGGAGCAAGAUCCCGGAGAUGGAUUCUGAGACAUGAAUCCAGGCCCUACGGGGCGCAGCAGGCGCGCAAACUUUACAAUGCGAGCAAUCGCGAUAAGGAAACCCUGAGUGCCUGUCGAUGCAGGCUGUUCAUAUAUCUAAAUCAUAUGUGAAGAAAGGGCAGGGCAAGACCGGUGCCAGCCGCCGCGGUAAUACCGGCUGCUCGAGUGAUGGCCACUAUUACUGGGUUUAAAGCGUCCGUAGCUUGACUGUUAGGUCCCUUGGGAAAUCUUCGCGCUUAACGUGAAGGCGUCUAAGAGAUACCGGCAGUCUUGGGACUGGGAGAGGUAAACCGUACUUCGGGGGUAGGAGUGAAAUCUUGUAAUCCUCGAGGGACGACCUAUGGCGAAGGCAGUUUACCAGAACAGCUUCGACAGUGAGGGACGAAAGCUGGGGGAGCAAACGGGAUUAGAUACCCCGGUAGUCCCAGCCGUAAACAAUGUGCGUUAGGUGUGUCGGUAACCACGCGUUACUGAUGCGCCGAAGAGAAAUCGUGAAACGCACCACCUGGGAAGUA